AUGAACGCUAGCUACAGGCUUAACACAUGCAAGUCGAGGGGCAUCAGGAAGAAAGCUUGCUUUCUUUGCUGGCGACCGGCGCACGGGUGAGUAACACGUAUCCAACCUGCCCUUUACUCGGGGAUAGCCUUUCGAAAGAAAGAUUAAUACCCGAUAGCAUAAUGAUUCCGCAUGGUUUCAUUAUUAAAGGAUUCCGGUAAAGGAUGGGGAUGCGUUCCAUUAGGUUGUUGGUGAGGUAACGGCCCACCAAGCCUUCGAUGGAUAGGGGUUCUGAGAGGAAGGUCCCCCACAUUGGAACUGAGACACGGUCCAAACUCCUACGGGAGGCAGCAGUGAGGAAUAUUGGUCAAUGGGCGCUAGCCUGAACCAGCCAAGUAGCGUGAAGGAUGAAGGCUCUAUGGGUCGUAAACUUCUUUUAUAUAAGAAUAAAGUGCAGUAUGUAUACUGUUUUGUAUGUAUUAUAUGAAUAAGGAUCGGCUAACUCCGUGCCAGCAGCCGCGGUAAUACGGAGGAUCCGAGCGUUAUCCGGAUUUAUUGGGUUUAAAGGGAGCGUAGGUGGACUGGUAAGUCAGUUGUGAAAGUUUGCGGCUCAACCGUAAAAUUGCAGUUGAUACUGUCAGUCUUGAGUACAGUAGAGGUGGGCGGAAUUCGUGGUGUAGCGGUGAAAUGCUUAGAUAUCACGAAGAACUCCGAUUGCGAAGGCAGCUCACUGGACUGCAACUGACACUGAUGCUCGAAAGUGUGGGUAUCAAACAGGAUUAGAUACCCUGGUAGUCCACACAGUAAACGAUGAAUACUCGCUGGUUGCGAUAUACAGUAAGCGGCCAAGCGAAAGCAUUAAGUAUUCCACCUGGGGAGUACGCCGGCAACGGUGAAACUCAAAGGAAUUGACGGGGGCCCGCACAAGCGGAGGAACAUGUGGUUUAAUUCGAUGAUACGCGAGGAACCUUACCCGGGCUUAAAUUGCAGUGGAAUGAUGUGGAAACAUGUCAGUGAGCAAUCACCGCUGUGAAGGUGCUGCAUGGUUGUCGUCAGCUCGUGCCGUGAGGUGUCGGCUUAAGUGCCAUAACGAGCGCAACCCUUAUCUUUAGUUACUAACAGGUUAUGCUGAGGACUCUGGAGAGACUGCCGUCGUAAGAUGUGAGGAAGGUGGGGAUGACGUCAAAUCAGCACGGCCCUUACGUCCGGGGCUACACACGUGUUACAAUGGGGGGUACAGAAGGCAGCUACCUGGUGACAGGAUGCUAAUCCCAAAAGCCUCUCUCAGUUCGGAUCGAAGUCUGCAACCCGACUUCGUGAAGCUGGAUUCGCUAGUAAUCGCGCAUCAGCCACGGCGCGGUGAAUACGUUCCCGGGCCUUGUACACACCGCCCGUCAAGCCAUGGGAGCCGGGGGUACCUGAAGUACGUAACCGCAAGGAUCGUCCUAGGGUAAAACUGGUGACUGGG
Molecule: ribosomal RNA, 1447 nt
Filed under: uncultured organism
Description: SSU rRNA
Rfam family: Bacterial small subunit ribosomal RNA
Source: RNAcentral